AUUUGGUAAACACCGCUAUGAAGCAGCUUCAAUCAAUAUCAAUCAAUACUACUACAUUUAUGUGAAAGAGGUUGAGGUUUACAAAGAUUUGAAGCAUCUUCAAGGUCAUUGUUUUAGUUUUUCAGCCGACAGUUUCCGUUUCUCGAUUCACUUUCACAAUUCUCCUCAGCAUCCAUUUCCACCAAAGAAGUCAAAAGUUAGCUGGAGAAUGAACAGAGAAACACAUUCUACGUAAGAGCCAGAAAUCUUUCCUCGGUGGAGACCAAAUAUGGAGUCGAACAGGAGGAGUAAAUACUAGAUGCUUUUACCAGGCAACCUGAGACAGCGCUUCAUGUAACAGCUAAUGGUGCUCCGUGUAAAUGAUCGUCCAUUUGCCAAGCUAGUCAAAUUUAUGAGGCAAUAAUAUGUCAGUGCUGUGUUCACAGCGUGCUUCCUGAAGGUUAUCAAAUCUUUAUAAUAUGUCAGGUCUUAAUGUUGAUUCUGCAACCGGAAGCCAGUCAUUGAUACCACUUCAGGCGUAUUUGCAAAUUGCGCUUUCCCUGUCAUGCAUAUUCAUUCAAGGGACGGUUAAGGGGAAUGUGGGACCUUCCCAUAAAGAGAUGGUAGGGGAUGCAUAUAGUGUGCCUUAUGUAUUCUGCGCUGUUUACAGAAACCGCCCAUGAAAGCGUGAAAUUCUGCACCUCUUAAAGCAGGUGUAAACAAGAAUGCGGGUUUCCUCACAUGUGCUUCCUGGUGAAACAGCAGCAGUAAUCCGAGCCAGACGGCGACAUGGACCAAGGAGACGAGCUGAAAGGAUUUUUUCCACAUGGAUCAUAGUUUUUCACACAAAAUAGUUACGCAUUUUACACAAAUUGAGCAGCCAUGCAAUAUUACAGUGACUCUCAGCGUCCAUAUUUCAUUCCAGCAGUUGUUAAACUCCUUGCUAGAUUACAAUUAUUGGCAUCAGGAUCAUUUCAAACAGGCAUCAGCAGUGGGAAUAUAGCAGUCUGCACACAGCCGUAUCACAGCAACAGUACUUAACGCUUUGCUGCAGCGCAUUAGUCGAUUUACAUUUUGGUUUUCACUGUUUUGACUGUUGCUGAUCCGUGACAGAAAGAGGGAAGGAGGUCUGUUCAUUUGGGUGUUUUAAUGCUCGCAAUGUGCGGUAUAGUGGUUGGAGAAAGGCGCUGAUUACAUGAUUAGCUGCAUGUUUUGAAAAUACAACGUUAGCUGAAGUAUCACAGCGAGUGCUGUCUGCGUAUUUGCCGUGGCGCUGAUGUACGUACACGAGUCCCGUAGUAUCUAAAUAUUUUGGUAAUCUCAGCAAAUAAUAAAGAGACUGAACAGGCCUCUGAUUUGUCAAUCUUUGCCCAGGCUGUGCAGACUAAAUUCGAGGGAGCACAAUGGAGGUGGGAUGUAGCUGACAGGAAUUGGCUGUUAAAAUGUGGAACAGGAAGAGGACCAUAAAAUGCAUCCACACUUUACAGGUUUGGACACUCUGCUCAGAACGCCAUUGUUUGUCUGUGAGAGAAAUUCAGACUUUAAUAGGUUGCAGAAAGUGUUAGUGUCCUUCUUACAGACCAGAUGUUGUUCAUGUUUUUACACUUCAUAGAUUGUGAGGAGGCUUUAAAUGGAAUUGUCGGGUGUCGAGUUUUUAAAAAAAAUUUCUACAGAGGAAACCUAAUAGCUAUGGGGUCAAAGUAAUCAGUAUAAGUGGUAUUAUUAUAGACAAAUGUAUUUUUUAGUCAAUGGAAUUUAAAAAAGUGAACUAAUUAAUCGCACAUUUUGAAAUUGAUCAAUCUCGAUAUAUGGCGAUUAAUGAAUGUUGUUGUUACAAUGUUGUUUAUAAUGAGUUAUAGUUUAGAGUUUAUUAUUACGAGACUACAUCUUAAAAGUAAUGAGUAAUCACUUUAGAAAGUGUGUAUUUUAAACAGCGGCCGUUACGUUUCCGUGGUCAACUUCCGGUUUAAACAAACAAACUUUAACUACGUCAGAAUAUUUUGUUGUAUUAAUCUAGGCCACAAAAAUCGCCUGUGCAUUAAUGCAUUAAUGUUGACCUCAUUUCUUCCCACAUUUUAUUCAGAUUACCCUCUUAUUAAGAUCAGUGCAGCUGUUUCACACAUUGAAAUGAAUGUACAAAUUAAAUUACUGUUCUUCGAAUAAAAACAAUAAUACAGUGCAGUACUGUGUAAAAAUAUAGUAUGCUUUAGUUGAAAUUACAGUAACUUCAAACAGUAUUGUGAUGUUUGCAAAUACAGUAUCGUCAUUAGUGCAAAUUGGCUCCUAAACUACAGCUUGGCUCGGAUGUACUGCAUUUUAACAGGCUUAAAGACUAUCAAUGCUGGAGUGGGUGCAGAUUUUG
This is a long non-coding RNA of Gasterosteus aculeatus aculeatus (three-spined stickleback), 2341 nucleotides long. The record is from Ensembl. NCBI's taxonomy places the organism in Eukaryota, Metazoa, Chordata, Actinopteri, Perciformes, Gasterosteidae.